Molecule: long non-coding RNA, 1535 nt
Organism: Astatotilapia calliptera (eastern happy)
Lineage: Eukaryota; Metazoa; Chordata; Actinopteri; Cichliformes; Cichlidae
Source: Ensembl
AAAUGGUGUUCAUGAAGGCAGUGUGAAUCACAAGUUAUGCUCGGGAGCAGUUUAUGUGGGUUCAAUGAGAGUGUGCGUCCAUAAGACUGCAUUGUUCAUGAGGGAUCGAAUGCAAGCAUGUGCCCAGAGUCCUCACCUUUCAGUAUCUCUAAUGGUGAAACAGGACAACCUAUGGAAGAAACUAAUUUCUGCUGCUUGUGGCCAUAGUUCAGGGGUUUGUGAUUCAGUAGAUGGAGCAGCUGUUUGUGCAUAAGAACAGACUUCUAGCCCUGAACAACAACCUAAAGGUAGGAAGCAAGGCUUCAGGCUUGGAGGGACUAACUCUACUCUAUGCUGCAGGAGUUCAUCACCCAAUUAGGCCAAGAGGAACACAUCAUUUACAAAAAGAAAAGAUGUGAUCCCGAGUCCACUAAUACCUGUACUUGUCAAUAUUAAGUGCUAAGAAGACAACACAUUGACACUACAGAGAUAUUUGAUUACAUGUUAAUGCCUAAACAUUGGUUAAACUUUUGCAAUGAAGUUGCAGUGAAGUUAAAAUUAAGAUUUUUGCAACUUCAUUUCAGUUUUUGGUUUUAAUAUCAGUCUUGUGUUUUUGUUUCCGUAUGGCACCAAAUAUCUGGAGGUUUGUUUAAUAAUGUGGAUGUCUUUAUGAUCUUUGUGACACAAAUUAAAUUUUACUUCUAUAUUUACUUCUAUUUUACUUCUAUAUAUUAAUUCACAACAACAGUUGCCUCAAAACCCAACCCAAACAUAAUCAUGAGUUUACUGUACUGAAAUGGCAUCCAUAAUCACCAGAACUUAAUCCAACAGUGAACCUUUGGGAUAUUCAAAUGACAAAUCUGCAGCAACUGUAUGAUGCUGUCGUGUCAAUAUGGACCAAAAUGUCUAAGGAAUGUUUCCAGCCCCUUGUUGAAUCUGUUGAAAACAAUUGAGGCAGUCCUGAAGGCAAAAGAUGUAUCUAAUAAAGUGUCUUGUGAGUGCACACAUUAGAGAAUAUGUUGUUGUAUAUUAGAGUAAUUUAUUGCAUGUGCUGCAUUUUGUCAUCUGCCUUCUCAGACUUUGGUUCAUCAAUGCUGUAACUCGCAGACAAUCCCUCCACAGUUAUCAAUGGCAGACUGAACUAUCAGUGUGUGUGUGUGUAUGUGUGUGUGUGGGUGUGUGUCUGUGUGUGCUUGGCCUGAGAUAACUGGGGUCAGGAAGGCACCAGUCAUAGGACAACCAAUGAAAUAUUUAUAGGAAUACAACACUAGAAGGUUUUACUGUACAGAGCAAAUUCACUGUAUAUAACUGUGACGGCAAGUCUGCACACACGAGUUCAAGACAUCACCAAGAAGAUAUAACAAUAAAGAAAGUGUCUACACAAGGACCAGUUCUUCUUUUAGUUUAUUCAUGUUUAUUUUUAACCAUGAGGUGAUUUUAACCACCCUCACUGACAAUCCUGUGUGGAGUAUUGUUCUCUUCCUGGGAUCUAGUCCUAAUUGUUUUUUUGUUUUUUUAAUACAGUUUGACAUUUAGGUUCUCUUAAUGUUCCACAC